Molecule: long non-coding RNA, 1417 nt
Organism: Triticum aestivum (bread wheat)
Lineage: Eukaryota; Viridiplantae; Streptophyta; Magnoliopsida; Poales; Poaceae
Exons: 5
Source: RefSeq, a predicted model, not a curated record
UUACCAACCGGGACUAAAGGUGGAGCUCCACGUGGCCGCGGCCUUUAGUCCCGGUUCGUGUAAGAAUCGGGACUAAAGGGGAGAGGCAUUAGUAACGACCCUUUAGUCCCGGUUCAAAAACCGGGACUAAAAGGCCUUACCAACCUGGACAAAAGCCCCUUUUUUUUACUAGUGUUACAAUGUAUAUUUGUGGGAGAAAGGAUUUGGCAUUAGAUAUGGAAAGAGCAGGCUAAAUGUGAACCGGACGAAGUGCAUGCAAGAGAUAGUCUGUGGAUGUGCGGUACGACAAAAAUUAGAGCGUUUUAAAAAUGAUUAGUAGUUAGCUAUGAGAAUUUUUUUCAUGAACUUAACUGAAUAUGCCUUAUUGUGUAUGUGGUCAGGGGAAGCCAAUAGUUGAAAAUACUCGUUUUUGCCGCUGUGAAUGCGCUGCCCUCAUAAGAUUUUUGCUACCGGCAAGGACCGUGUCAAGUGCAGACGCUCAGAUCUAUGCGGUGGAAGCCGCUCCAGAGGCCGCGAGUGGAGACAGGGGCAAAGCAUCCGAGCACUCCAUAGAGCAGAUUGACCCGAAGGCUCCUCGGGUGGACGCGAAGGCCUGGCAUGUGUUGGGUCAUCACCACCACAGGGUUUUAGGAGCACAUCAGAACUAGUUCAGUCUGGUGAAGCAAGAGGCAAUGCAGCUAGGGCGGAUGACAUGCUGCCACUGAACACAUCCACAACAGCAGCUGUUAGGAGGCAUCAGAAUUAGAUAUGCGUCAAAAGAGAUAUGCAAAUAGGGGCAGCAGGAAGUGUCGCCAGAGAAUACGGCGUACACCAUCAAGCAGGCACUCAUCAUCCUCAGGGAGCUCGGCUGAAGAUGGAGAUAAUGUUGACAGCCGCAAACAAACUACGAGAUUUCGACGACAGAAUGCUUCAUCCCAUGUUGUUGCGGUUGGUUCGGCAAACCAACCACCAAGCGUGCUAAGGGGGGCAACGAUGCCAGUGGGCAUGACCGUGCGUGGAAGCAGCAAUGAAUUGUCUUCCCAGGGAUUACAAUUGCAGCUAGAGGAGAGAGCUCGGCUGCAGCAAUGCGUACUUCAGCAGGAGAGACGAUGCAUACAUGGUUGGGAACGAAUUGGAGUGGCGGUACCAGCUCAAAUUGAUUGGAAGGCCAAUCUAUGGGGGAUCCACAAGUCUACGAACAGGAGGAGCAGUGUUGGGGGAGAUUGGUAGCUCCCAUGGGCGGAUGUCAUAAAGGAGCUCACUAGCGGCGUUAGUCCAGAAUCCACGAUGAGACGACUCGUAUCGUCUAUCUCCAUCUGAUCCGUGCUAAGGAUAGCUGACGGGGUAAAAGAGAUAGCAUCUAGGUAGUGGGCCAUGGGCCAUAAUAAAAAAUGGAAUACAUAAGUUAUAACUGUACCUAUACCUCCUAUGGCGCUCA